GAUUCAACAUACAGAUACAUGUCGUAAGAAGCUGGUGUAUACAGUGUUUCGCACUACACUUUGGUAACGAAAUCCACAUAUACGUUACGGCAGACCAGACAGAAGGCAAUUAAUUGUAUUGUUUUCUCUAUUAUGUAAUCACCAGAAGCAUUUUUAGAAAAUGGAAGAAAUUCCUUUCAAAAAUGAUGAAAUUUUGUCUGAUGUUCAUCUCCACAUGCAGCAUGAAAAAUGUUUAGCGAUCAGAGUGAAUGCAGCUGGGCAAUCAGUGUUUCAAUCCCACUUUACAAUUCUUUGGAGAAAUGAAGAGUUAGACAUACCAUGCAAUGAGAUCCAACACAAUAAGGAAAAGGCUAUAUCCUUUGAAAAACACACUUCGGAUGACUUUAUCUUUGGCCAGG
Molecule: long non-coding RNA, 398 nt
Organism: Pelobates fuscus (common spadefoot toad)
Lineage: Eukaryota; Metazoa; Chordata; Amphibia; Anura; Pelobatidae
Exons: 3
Source: RefSeq, a predicted model, not a curated record